RNAcentral lists this ribosomal RNA (253 nucleotides) under uncultured bacterium. RNAcentral describes it as "partial 16S ribosomal RNA". It matches the Rfam family "Bacterial small subunit ribosomal RNA", at positions 524 to 776 of the family's 1533-position model. The record is from RNAcentral.
UACGUAGGGUGCGAGCAUUGUCCGGAAUUAUUGGGCGUAAAGAGCUCGUAGGCGGCCUGUCACGUCGGAUGUGAAAGCCCGGGGCUUAACCCCGGGUCUGCAUUCGAUACGGGCAGGCUAGAGUUCGGUAGGGGAGAUCGGAAUUCCUGGUGUAGCGGUGAAAUGCGCAGAUAUCAGGAGGAACACCGGUGGCGAAGGCGGAUCUCUGGGCCGAUACUGACGCUGAGGAGCGAAAGCGUGGGGAGCGAACAGG